Molecule: long non-coding RNA, 1642 nt
Organism: Lycium barbarum (goji berry)
Lineage: Eukaryota; Viridiplantae; Streptophyta; Magnoliopsida; Solanales; Solanaceae
Exons: 4
Source: RefSeq, a predicted model, not a curated record
CAGGCUCCAAUAUGUGCUUCAAUUUGGUCCAUGCCCUCGGAAGGAGCAAUGGGAUUUUAUGCGUAUUCCAUUAUGUCAUUCUGUCGGAACACCAUCUUCUGCAGCUCUUUGGUCAUCCUCAAUGGCUCACUGUUAGAUGGCGAUCACAUACAUAUGUAAACAAGGUUAAGGAGGAACUAGAGAAGAGAGGCUGCCAAUUAAGUACGGGUUUGUGAAGUAAAUUUUGUAUCAACGAAUGAAGAAGGUCUGGUUUGGUUUUUAGCAUUUUGAAAUCCCUCUACUUUCUCCAUGUCUGCUUAUGCGUUUGUGUGAGAGUUUAAUUUCCUGUCCUUAUUUUCUUUUAUCAUAUGGUAUAUAGGCAUCAAACUGUUGGAAAAAAAUAGGCAUACAGUUCAUUUAGUGUUUACCUAAGAAAAACCGUCUAUCAGCUUCAUUUCACAUAAGUUAGAUAAUUAAAAAAGAUUCUAUUUACAUCUUAAAGUCUUUUGUACUUAAGGUCCUUUAGUUUCAUUGGAUGAAAACUUGACAGUGUUCAACACACACGCGAUGAUAAAAGGUGUUCUUUACAGCCAUAUGGCUGAAUACAAACCCAAAAAACCUAAUAGGAGGUACAGGUUUGCUAUAAAUAAUUUACGCUCUCUUUUAACAAUAGUUAGUCUAUAGUGAUUUAACCGUUGUAUGAUUAGAAUUUCUAUUGCUUUGCUUAAAGACGAGGACAAUUCUCUAUGGAGGAAAGUCAAGAAAACAAGGAGUCUAUGGUAUGAAAUUCUGAAUUCUUAAAACUGCAACAGAGAGGAGUGGAAUUACAGCCAGUGGCAUAGCAGUCAGUGUGCUUAUUGUUCCCAAUGAACAGAUAACCGACCUAUUGUAUACCAAUGGAGAAUGGAAGGAUGGCUUUACAACAUUUAGGCUUGGUUGACAAGAAAUAUUCUGUGAAAUAUCAUUGUAAGUCUCUGCUUAUUGUCACUUUAAGUUGGUGAAUAAGUUGAGGUUGAUUGAUCGUUUCACUAAUCUCCCUAAAGUUAAGCAGACUAAUAUCGUAGAAAGUCCAUAUGACUUUGAUAUUGCGGAUUAUCUCACUAAUGUGCCUCCUUUCCGAGGUUCCUCCUAGGACCGCGAUUUCAACAUUUUUUUUGAUAAAACCCUACCCCGACACUUCUAUCUUUUUUCGAUGUCAUCAUACUUCUAUGGUCUAUAAUAUGAGCUUACAGACAAAAGACUAUAUGAUCUAGAAAUUCUUCAGUUGCUUCAUGAUUUCUCAAAUGGUUAUGAUCUGACAUACAAAUGUUUGGAUUAUUGGUUGUUAAUACCUUAACGAAAAACAUGAGUCUUAUUUCAAUUUUUCAUCCCGUGAUUAUCAAUGAAAGAGAAGGUCCCUAAAAUUCGAUUUGGCCUAUUCAAUAACUUUGUUCUAUUUCCGUAAAAUUCCUAUUUGUCUGAGAUUAGCACUACUGAUCUAAUCCAGUAGCCUGGAAUUUUUAUGCUCUUCUAACAUCAAAAUAUGGAGAAGUAAAUGAAGAUGUUCCUCCUGCUAAUAUUGUUCAUACAACACCAACAAAUGGGUACAACAAGAGUCAUUUGGAUACACAUCAUUUUAUUGAGCCGAGGGUCUUUCGGAAACAGCCGUCCUACCUUGAUAGGA